CACGGCAUCUAAACGCCUAUGGGGCAUGGGAAAAAUAAUUCCCCUUGUUUUAUUUCACCGCAGGGAACAUAUCGGGAAUGCGACGUUACCACUAUCGAUACCUGCUCCUCUACACGGCUCAGUCACUCGAUUCUGCACUGACGGGCCGGGCUGCCGCACGACGUGGGCAGCAUAAUGAAGGAGACUACGGAAUGGCCAAUGGCACCGUAAAAUGGUUCAACACCACCAAAGGUUAUGGCUUUAUCGCCCCCGAUGAUGGCGGCAAAGACGUGUUUGUGCACAUCUCUGCUGUCGAGCGCGCGGGCCUCACCGGCCUCGCCGACAACCAGAAGGUCACCUACGACCUCGAAGCCGGCCGUGACGGCCGCGAAUCGGCAGGCAACAUCGUUCUGGCCUAAGGCCUCAGCGACACGCUUUUGAAGGGCCGUCCCACCGGGGGCGGCCCUUUUC
RNAcentral lists this non-coding RNA (450 nucleotides) under Roseovarius nubinhibens ISM. Its description in RNAcentral is "cspA thermoregulator". It matches the Rfam family "cspA thermoregulator", at positions 108 to 428 of the family's 428-position model. Lineage: Bacteria; Pseudomonadati; Pseudomonadota; Alphaproteobacteria; Rhodobacterales; Roseobacteraceae. The record is from Rfam by way of RNAcentral.